Molecule: ribosomal RNA, 639 nt
Filed under: uncultured bacterium
Lineage: Bacteria
Description: bacterial SSU rRNA
Rfam family: Bacterial small subunit ribosomal RNA
Source: RNAcentral
GAAAAGAGGCCUCUUAACAAUGCUCCUGCUUUUAGAUGAGUCUGCGUCUGAUUAGCUAGAUGGUGGGGUAACGGCUUACCAUGGCGACGAUCAGUAGUCGGCCUGAGAGGGUGACCGGCCACAUUGGGACUGAGACACGGCCCAAACUCCUACGGGAGGCAGCAGUGGGGAAUCUUCCGCAAUGGGCGAAAGCCUGACGGAGCAACGCCGCGUGAUCGAAGAAGGCCUUCGGGUUGUAAAGAUCUGUUGACAGGGACGAAUAAGCAAUGCGAAUAGUUUUGUGUAUGACGGUACCUGUUUAGAAAGCUCCGGCUAACUACGUGCCAGCAGCCGCGGUAAUACGUAGGGAGCAAGCGUUGUCCGGAAUUACUGGGCGUAAAGGGCGCGUAGGUGGGCGCUUAAGUCAGGUGUGAAAACUCCGGGCUCAACCUGGAGACUGCACUUGAAACUGGGUGUCUUGAGGGCAGGAGAGGAAAGUGGAAUUCCUAGUGUAGCGGUGAAAUGCGUAGAUAUUAGGAGGAACACCAGUGGCGAAGGCGACUUUCUGGACUGUACCUGACGCUGAGGCGCGAAAGCGUGGGUAGCGAACGGGAUUAGAUACCCCGGUAGUCCACGCCGUAAACGAUGAAUACUAGGUGU